Molecule: long non-coding RNA, 906 nt
Filed under: Fukomys damarensis (Damara mole-rat)
Lineage: Eukaryota; Metazoa; Chordata; Mammalia; Rodentia; Bathyergidae
Description: lncRNA (ENSFDAG00000025784.1)
Source: RNAcentral
GCCCAGACUACUCUCAAACUCAAGGUGAUCCUCCUGCCUCAGCCUCCCGAGUGCUGAGAAGGCAGGCGUGGGCCACCAUGCCCGGUGUGACACUAGGUUGCUGUCUCUGGCUCUGUGGCCAGUUUCCGUCUGCAUCCCUGACCUGGGCUGUGACUCACAACACCUGCUCUGUGGGCACCCUCUGGAGUCGUAGCCUCCCCCGAAGUUUCUGAGCCCAGUUGUGUCUCGAAUGAGCGCUCUAAGCACCAUUUACAGACAGUGCACAUGGCAACGACACAGCUGAUCGCCCACGGUCAGCACGGAGCCGAUGCCAGCACGGGGCUGUGGCCAGGACUGUUUCGGCAUCCUGCAGCCAGCGGGAUUCCCACCCUGCCCUCAGUGGGGCACAGCCCGGAGCUCAGUGGAGAGGAGGGCGCCCACCGCAGGGGAGGCACCUGCUGCUGGCUCUUUCCGCUGAACAGGCCACAGGUGAGCGCCCCAAGUUCCGUGUGCCCACGGGAAACCACGUGCUGUGGCCUGGCAGCCUUCUUUGGGAAGAGGCUUUGGCACAGGUACUGACCCUCAGCCCCUGGGGUCUGAUUCCGGAAGCUCUGGGCGAAACUCACCAUUUUUAGCCGAGAUCGGGGGUUUGUCCGGAACUGGCUGAGCUCACACGGAGAAUCCACUCCAGCUGGCUCAAGGGGCGCGAAGGAACUCGGGGGCUGACCGACUCAGGGCAGGUGGCAGCUGCUUCGGGCGGCUCUGCUCACGCCCGUGCUUUAGUCAAAUGAGUCACAUGCUCAGGGCGGCCUAGCAAACCGUUUGUGCUCGCCCUUCUGCCCAAGUGUCCUCACUGCGCAGCAGUAAGACAAGCACGGAAGCCACGGGUAUCAAAGUUCCCUAACCAGCCAGUGCCAGGUGGCUUCC